GAUGAACGCUGGCGGCGUGCCUAAUACAUGCAAGUCGAACGGUGCCGCAAGGCAUAGUGGCGACCGGGUGCGUAACACGUAGCUGACCUGCCCCUCAGCGGGGGACAACUGUUGGAAACGACAGCUAAUACCGCAUGAUCUUGAGAAGACCAAAGAUUUUCAAGUAAACUUCCGGGGCUGAGGGAGGGGGCUGCGGCCCAUCAGGUAGUUGGUGCGGUAACGGCGCACCAAGCCGACGACGGGUAGGGGGCCUGAGAGGGUGGUCCCCCA
Molecule: ribosomal RNA, 270 nt
Filed under: uncultured bacterium
Lineage: Bacteria
Description: partial 16S ribosomal RNA
Rfam family: Bacterial small subunit ribosomal RNA
Source: RNAcentral